AGGUAUUAUUGCUAUUCAAAUAACCAAUAAUACCUAUGAUGUGCGAAGAGGGGCUUUACUGCACAACCUUACAUGGGGGAAACUCAUUCCCCCUCAUAUUACCAACUUCAAGCGUGGGGAUAUGACAUUCCCAAUGAUAUUCCCAUUUAGAUUCUUGUACCCUGUUUAACCGAACCAAACGGGUCCAUUCCACAAUUGCCGAAGUGAAAGGUAUUUCCU
RNAcentral lists this unclassified non-coding RNA (219 nucleotides) under Hevea brasiliensis (rubber tree). Lineage: Eukaryota; Viridiplantae; Streptophyta; Magnoliopsida; Malpighiales; Euphorbiaceae. The record is from RNAcentral.